Molecule: ribosomal RNA, 445 nt
Filed under: uncultured bacterium
Lineage: Bacteria
Description: bacterial SSU rRNA
Rfam family: Bacterial small subunit ribosomal RNA
Source: RNAcentral
ACUAACGCUGACGGUAUGCUUUAUACAUGCAAGUCGAACGGUAAGGCCCCGCAAGGGGUACACGAGUGGCGGACGGGUGAGUAACACGUAGGAAUCUGCCUCAAAGUGUGGGAUAACCGAGAGAAAUCUUGGCUAAUACCGCAUAUGUCGAAAGAUGAAAGGAGCAAUUCGCUUUGAGAGGAGCCUGCGUCUGAUUAGCUAGUUGGUGAGGUAACGGCCCACCAAGGCUACGAUCAGUAGCUGGUCUGAGAGGAUGACCAGCCACAAUGGGACUGAGAUACGGCCCAUACUCCUACGGGAGGCAGCAGUAGGGAAUUUUACGCAAUGGGCGAAAGCCUGACGUAGCAAUACCGUGUGAGGGAAGAAGCCCUGUGGGGUGUAAACCUCUGUCGGGAGGGACGAAAAAAAUGACGGUACCUCCAAAGGAAGCACCGGCUAACUCUGU